GCGGUGGAUGAUGUGGUUUAAUUCGAUGCAACGCGAAAACCUUACCCACCUUUGACAUGUACGAAGUUGCCAGAGAUGGCUUCGUGCUCGAAAGAGAGCCGUAACACAGGUGCUGCAUGGCUGUCGUCAGCUCGUGUCGUGAGAUGUUGGGUUAAGUCCCGCAACGAGCGCAACCCUUGUCAUUAGUUGCUACGAAAGGGCACUCUAAUGAGACUGCCGGUGACAAACCGGAGGAAGGUGGGGAUGACGUCAAGUCCUCAUGGCCCUUAUAGGUGGGGCUACACACGUCAUACAAUGGCUGGUACAAAGGGUUGCCAACCCGCGAGGGGGAGCCAAUCCCAUAAAGCCAGUCGUAGUCCGGAUCGCAGUCUGCAACUCGACUGCGUGAAGUCGGAAUCGCUAGUAAUCGUGGAUCAGCAUGUCACGGUGAAUACGUUCCCGGGUCUU
RNAcentral lists this ribosomal RNA (447 nucleotides) under uncultured Curvibacter sp. RNAcentral describes it as "bacterial SSU rRNA". It matches the Rfam family "Bacterial small subunit ribosomal RNA", at positions 929 to 1382 of the family's 1533-position model. Lineage: Bacteria; Pseudomonadati; Pseudomonadota; Betaproteobacteria; Burkholderiales; Comamonadaceae. The record is from RNAcentral.